UCCUACGGGAGGCAGCAGUAGGGAAUCUUCCACAAUGGACGAAAGUCUGAUGGAGCAACGCCGCGUGAGUGAAGAAGGUUUUCGGAUCGUAAAACUCUGUUGUUGGAGAAGAAUGUAUCUGAUAGUAACUGAUCAGGUAGUGACGGUAUCCAACCAGAAAGCCACGGCUAACUACGUGCCAGCAGCCGCGGUAAUACGUAGGUGGCAAGCGUUGUCCGGAUUUAUUGGGCGUAAAGCGAGCGCAGGCGGUUUCUUAAGUCUGAUGUGAAAGCCUUCGGCUCAACCGAAGAAGUGCAUCGGAAACUGGGAAACUUGAGUGCAGAAGAGGACAGUGGAACUCCAUGUGUAGCGGUGAAAUGCGUAGAUAUAUGGAAGAACACCAGUGGCGAAGGCGGCUGUCUGGUCUGUAACUGACGCUGAGGCUCGAAAGCAUGGGUAGCAAACAGGAUUAGAUACCCUGGUAGUCCAUGCCGUAAACGAUGAGUGCUAGGUGUUGGAGGGUUUCCGCCCUUCAGUGCCGCAGCUAACGCAUUAAGCACUCCGCCUGGGGAGUACGACCGCAAGGUUGAAACUCAAAGGAAUUGACGGGGGCCCGCACAAGCGGUGGAGCAUGUGGUUUAAUUCGAAGCAACGCGAAGAACCUUACCAGGUCUUGACAUCCUUUGACCACUCUAGAGAUAGAGCUUUCCCUUCGGGGACAAAGUGACAGGUGGUGCAUGGUUGUCGUCAGCUCGUGUCGUGAGAUGUUGGGUUAAGUCCCGCAACGAGCGCAACCCUUAUUACUAGUUGCCAGCAUUUAGUUGGGCACUCUAGUGAGACUGCCGGUGACAAACCGGAGGAAGGUGGGGACGACGUCAAAUCAUCAUGCCCCUUAUGACCUGGGCUACACACGUGCUACAAUGGAUGGUACAACGAGUUGCGAGACCGCGAGGUUUAGCUAAUCUCUUAAAACCAUUCUCAGUUCGGAUUGUAGGCUGCAACUCGCCUACAUGAAGCCGGAAUCGCUAGUAAUCGCGGAUCAGCAUGCCGCGGUGAAUACGUUCCCGGGCCUUGUACACACCGCCCGUCACACCAUGAGAGUUUGUAACACCCAAAGCCGGUGAGGUAACCCUUCGGGGAGCCAGCCGUCUAAG
RNAcentral lists this ribosomal RNA (1133 nucleotides) under Latilactobacillus sakei. RNAcentral describes it as "bacterial SSU rRNA". It matches the Rfam family "Bacterial small subunit ribosomal RNA", at positions 337 to 1461 of the family's 1533-position model. The record is from RNAcentral. Lineage: Bacteria; Bacillati; Bacillota; Bacilli; Lactobacillales; Lactobacillaceae.